GAUGAACGCUAGCUACAGGCUUAACACAUGCAAGUCGAGGGGCAGCAUGGUCUUAGCUUGCUAAGGCCGAUGGCGACCGGCGCACGGGUGAGUAACACGUAUCCAACCUGCCGUCUACUCUUGGACAGCCUUCUGAAAGGAAGAUUAAUACAAGAUGGCAUCAUGAGUCCACAUGUUCACAUGAUUAAAGGUAUUCCGGUAGACGAUGGGGAUGCGUUCCAUUAGAUAGUAGGCGGGGUAACGGCCCACCUAGUCUUCGAUGGAUAGGGGUUCUGAGAGGAAGGUCCCCCACAUUGGAACUGAGACACGGUCCAAACUCCUACGGGAGGCAGCAGUGAGGAAUAUUGGUCAAUGGGCGAGAGCCUGAACCAGCCAAGUAGCGUGAAGGAUGACUGCCCUAUGGGUUGUAAACUUCUUUUAUAAAGGAAUAAAGUCGGGUAUGGAUACCCGUUUGCAUGUACUUUAUGAAUAAGGAUCGGCUAACUCCGUGCCAGCAGCUGCGGUAAUACGGAGGAUCCGAGCGUUAUCCGGAUUUAUUGGGUUUAAAGGGAGCGUAGAUGGAUGUUUAAGUCAGUUGUGAAAGUUUGCGGCUCAACCGUAAAAUUGCAGUUGAUACUGGAUAUCUUGAGUGCAGUUGAGGCAGGCGGAAUUCGUGGUGUAGCGGUGAAAUGCUUAGAUAUCACGAAGAACUCCGAUUGCGAAGGCAGCCUGCUAAGCUGCAACUGACAUUGAGGCUCGAAAGUGUGGGUAUCAAACAGGAUUAGAUACCCUGGUAGUCCACACGGUAAACGAUGAAUACUCGCUGUUUGCGAUAUACAGCAAGCGGCCAAGCGAAAGCGUUAAGUAUUCCACCUGGGGAGUACGCCGGCAACGGUGAAACUCAAAGGAAUUGACGGGGGCCCGCACAAGCGGAGGAACAUGUGGUUUAAUUCGAUGAUACGCGAGGAACCUUACCCGGGCUUAAAUUGCAGAUGAAUUACGGUGAAAGCCGUAAGCCGCAAGGCAUCUGUGAAGGUGCUGCAUGGUUGUCGUCAGCUCGUGCCGUGAGGUGUCGGCUUAAGUGCCAUAACGAGCGCAACCCUUGUUGUCAGUUACUAACAGGUUCCGCUGAGGACUCUGACAAGACUGCCAUCGUAAGAUGUGAGGAAGGUGGGGAUGACGUCAAAUCAGCACGGCCCUUACGUCCGGGGCUACACACGUGUUACAAUGGGGGGUACAGAGGGCCGCUACCACGCGAGUGGAUGCCAAUCCCAAAAACCUCUCUCAGUUCGGACUGGAGUCUGCAACCCGACUCCACGAAGCUGGAUUCGCUAGUAAUCGCGCAUCAGCCACGGCGCGGUGAAUACGUUCCCGGGCCU
RNAcentral lists this ribosomal RNA (1358 nucleotides) under uncultured bacterium. RNAcentral describes it as "bacterial SSU rRNA". It matches the Rfam family "Bacterial small subunit ribosomal RNA", at positions 28 to 1381 of the family's 1533-position model. The record is from RNAcentral.